This 243-nucleotide long non-coding RNA is filed under the name Elaeis guineensis (African oil palm). RNAcentral's name for it is "long non-coding RNA (EGUI_LNC007701)". The record is from RNAcentral. Lineage: Eukaryota; Viridiplantae; Streptophyta; Magnoliopsida; Arecales; Arecaceae.
AUAAAUAAGAUUGAUGCUACUUUGCUAGAGUUAUUGAAUAUGUUGGUGACUGCAGACGGCAACUUGAAAAGUUUAAGGGGCAUAAUUUUGGCUGUAGAGCAGGCUUCCUCCAAAAGAAAGUCUUCUUUCAAGAAGAAGAAAAAGCCCGCAAAGAAGUAAAAGAACGAGGCCAAGCCCAAGAAAUAGGUUUCGAAGAAGACCGACGAUAAAGAAAAAUAUUUUCAUUGCAAUGUCAAAGGCCAC